RNAcentral lists this ribosomal RNA (497 nucleotides) under uncultured bacterium. RNAcentral's name for it is "partial 16S ribosomal RNA". It matches the Rfam family "Bacterial small subunit ribosomal RNA", at positions 28 to 507 of the family's 1533-position model. The record is from RNAcentral.
GAUGAACGCUGGCGGCGUGCCUAAUACAUGCAAGUCGAGCGAACAGACGAGGAGCUUGCUCCUCUGACGUUAGCGGCGGACGGGUGAGUAACACGUGGAUAACCUACCUAUAAGACUGGGAUAACUUCGGGAAACCGGAGCUAAUACCGGAUAAUAUAUUGAACCGCAUGGUUCAAUAGUGAAAGACGGUUUUGCUGUCACUUAUAGAUGGAUCCGCGCCGCAUUAGCUAGUUGGUAAGGUAACGGCUUACCAAGGCAACGAUGCGUAGCCGACCUGAGAGGGUGAUCAGCCACACUGGAACUGAGACACGGUCCAGACUCCUACGGGAGGCAGCAGUAGGGAAUCUUCCGCAAUGGGCGAAAGCCUGACGGAGCAACGCCGCGUGAGGGAUGAAGGUCUUCGGAUCGUAAAACUCUGUUAUUAGGGAAGAACAAAUGUGUAAGUAACUAUGCACGUCUUGACGGUACCUAAUCAGAAAGCCACGGCUAACUACGUG